RNAcentral lists this ribosomal RNA (497 nucleotides) under uncultured bacterium. RNAcentral describes it as "partial 16S ribosomal RNA". It matches the Rfam family "Bacterial small subunit ribosomal RNA", at positions 28 to 507 of the family's 1533-position model. The record is from RNAcentral.
GAUGAACGCUGGCGGCGUGCCUAAUACAUGCAAGUCGAGCGAACAGACGAGGAGCUUGCUCCUCUGACGUUAGCGGCGGACGGGUGAGUAACACGUGGAUAACCUACCUAUAAGACUGGGAUAACUUCGGGAAACCGGAGCUAAUACCGGAUAAUAUAUUGAACCGCAUGGUUCAAUAGUGAAAGACGGUUUUGCUGUCACUUAUAGAUGGAUCCGCGCCGCAUUAGCUAGUUGGUAAGGUAACGGCUUACCAAGGCAACGAUGCGUAGCCGACCUGAGAGGGUGAUCGGACACACUGGAACUGAGACACGGUCCAGACUCCUACGGGAGGCAGCAGUAGGGAAUCUUCCGCAAUGGGCGAAAGCCUGACGGAGCAACGCCGCGUGAGUGAUGAAGGUCUUCGGAUCGUAAAACUCUGUUAUUAGGGAAGAACAAAUGUGUAAGUAACUAUGCAAGUCUUGACGGUACCUAAUCAGAAAGCCACGGCUAACUACGUG